RNAcentral lists this non-coding RNA (21 nucleotides) under Arabidopsis thaliana (thale cress). Lineage: Eukaryota; Viridiplantae; Streptophyta; Magnoliopsida; Brassicales; Brassicaceae. The record is from RNAcentral.
CUGUGAAGCUCGAUCUAAAAG